This 432-nucleotide ribosomal RNA is filed under the name uncultured bacterium. Its description in RNAcentral is "partial 16S ribosomal RNA". It matches the Rfam family "Bacterial small subunit ribosomal RNA", at positions 29 to 507 of the family's 1533-position model. The record is from RNAcentral.
ACGAACGCUGGCGGCAUGCCUAACACAUGCAAGUCGAACGAGACCUUCGGGUCUAGUGGCGCACGGGUGCGUAACGCGUGGGAACCUGCCCUUAGGUUCGGAAUAACUCCCCGAAAGGGGUGCUAAUACCGGAUAAUGUCUUCGGACCAAAGAUUUAUCGCCUUUGGAUGGGCCCGCGUUGGGUUAGCUAGUUGGUAGGGUAAAAGCCUACCAAGGCGACGAUCCAUAGCUGGUCUGAGAGGAUGAUCAGCCACACUGGGACUGAGACACGGCCCAGACUCCUACGGGAGGCAGCAGUGGGGAAUAUUGGACAAUGGGCGAAAGCCUGAUCCAGCAAUGCCGCGUGAGUGAUGAAGGCCUUAGGGUUGUAAAGCUCUUUUACCCGGGAUGAUAAUGACAGUACCGGGAGAAUAAGCUCCGGCUAACUCCGUG